Molecule: ribosomal RNA, 760 nt
Filed under: uncultured Verrucomicrobiota bacterium
Lineage: Bacteria; Pseudomonadati; Verrucomicrobiota
Description: bacterial SSU rRNA
Rfam family: Bacterial small subunit ribosomal RNA
Source: RNAcentral
UGCAAGUCGAGCGCUGAUUUCAGGGUAGCAAUAUUCUGAGGUCGGAGCGGCGCAAGGGUGCGUAACACGUGGGUAAUCUGCCAUGAAGUUCGGGAUAACUUGCUGAAAGGCGAGCUAAUACCGGAUGUGACAAUUGGGAGACAUCUUCUGAUUGCUAAAGUUGGGGACCGUAAGGCCUGACGCUUCUUGAUGAACCCGCGGCCUAUCAGCUAGUUGGUGAGGUAACGGCCCACCAAGGCUAAGACGGGUAGCUGGUCUGAGAGGACGACCAGCCACACUGGAACUGAGACACGGUCCAGACACCUACGGGUGGCAGCAGUCGAGAAUUUUUCACAAUGGGCGCAAGCCUGAUGGAGCGACGCCGCGUGGGGGAUGAAUGGCUUCGGCCCGUAAACCCCUGUCAUUUGCGAUCAAACCUCAUUAUUUAAAAGAUGAUGAGUUGAUAGUAGCGAAAGAGGAAGGGACGGCUAACUCUGUGCCAGCAGCCGCGGUAAUACAGAGGUCCCAAGCGUUGUUCGGAUUCACUGGGCGUAAAGGGUGCGUAGGUGGUGAGGUAAGUCGGAUGUGAAAGCUCGGAGCUCAACUCCGAAAUGGCAUUGGAAACUACCUUGCUCGAGGGUUGGAGGGGGGACUGGAAUACUUGGUGUAGCAGUGAAAUGCGUAGAUAUCAAGUGGAACACCAGUGGCGAAGGCGAGUCCCUGGACAACUCCUGACACUGAGGCACGAAAGCUAGGGGAGCAAACAGGAUUAGAUACCCUG